AUGCAAGUCGAGCGGUAACAGGAAGUAGCUUGCUACUUCGCUGACGAGCGGCGGACGGGUGAGUAAUGCAUAGGAAGUUGCCCUGAUGUGGGGGAUAACCAUUGGAAACGAUGGCUAAUACCGCAUAAUCUCUUUUCUGUGAAAAGAGGGGAGCAAAGCGGGGGACCUUCGGGCCUCGCGCGUUAGGAUACGCCUAUGUGGGAUUAGCUAGUUGGUGAGGUAAUGGCUCACCAAGGCGACGAUCCCUAGCUGGUCUGAGAGGAUGAUCAGCCACACUGGGACUGAGACACGGCCCAGACUCCUACGGGAGGCAGCAGUGGGGAAUAUUGCACAAUGGGCGAAAGCCUGAUGCAGCCAUGCCGCGUGUAUGAAGAAGGCCUUCGGGUUGUAAAGUACUUUCAGUUGUGAGGAAGGUAGUGUAGUUAAUAGCUGCAUUGCUUGACGUUAGCAACAGAAGAAGCACCGGCUAACUCCGUGCCAGCAGCCGCGGUAAUACGGAGGGUGCGAGCGUUAAUCGGAAUUACUGGGCGUAAAGCGCAUGCAGGUGGUUCGUUAAGUCAGAUGUGAAAGCCCGGGGCUCAACCUCGGAACUGCAUUUGAAACUGGCGGACUAGAGUACUGUAGAGGGGGGUAGAAUUUCAGGUGUAGCGGUGAAAUGCGUAGAGAUCUGAAGGAAUACCAGUGGCGAAGGCGGCCCCCUGGACAGAUACUGACACUCAGAUGCGAAAGCGUGGGGAGCAAACAGGAUUAGAUACCCUGGUAGUCCACGCCGUANACGAUGUCUACUUGGAGGUUGUGGCCUUGAGCCGUGGCUUUCGGAGCUAACGCGUUAAGUAGACCGCCUGGGGAGUACGGUCGCAAGAUUAAAACUCAAAUGAAUUGACGGGGGCCCGCACAAGCGGUGGAGCAUGUGGUUUAAUUCGAUGCAACGCGAAGAACCUUACCUACUCUUGACAUCCAGAGAACUUUCCAGAGAUGGAUUGGUGGCCUUC
RNAcentral lists this ribosomal RNA (992 nucleotides) under uncultured Vibrio sp. Its description in RNAcentral is "bacterial SSU rRNA". It matches the Rfam family "Bacterial small subunit ribosomal RNA", at positions 55 to 1022 of the family's 1533-position model. Lineage: Bacteria; Pseudomonadati; Pseudomonadota; Gammaproteobacteria; Vibrionales; Vibrionaceae. The record is from RNAcentral.